RNAcentral lists this ribosomal RNA (276 nucleotides) under Paenibacillus sp. ISOM208_OTU83758. RNAcentral's name for it is "partial 16S ribosomal RNA". It matches the Rfam family "Bacterial small subunit ribosomal RNA", at positions 29 to 289 of the family's 1533-position model. The record is from RNAcentral. Lineage: Bacteria; Bacillati; Bacillota; Bacilli; Caryophanales; Paenibacillaceae.
ACGAACGCUGGCGGCGUGCCUAAUACAUGCAAGUCGAGCGGAGUUGAUUUGAAAGCUUGCUUUCAAAUCAACUUAGCGGCGGACGGGUGAGUAACACGUAGGCAACCUGCCCUUUAGUCUGGGAUAACUACCGGAAACGGUAGCUAAUACCGGAUAAUUCCUUCUGGCUCCUGCCGGAAGGAUGAAAGACGGAGCAAUCUGUCACUAAGGGAUGGGCCUGCGGCGCAUUAGCUAGUUGGUGAGGUAACGGCUCACCAAGGCGACGAUGCGUAGCCG